AAAGGAAAGCAGCUACCAAAACAUGAUAUCGAUUUUUGUUGUGGUACAACAUCUUUGAAAAUCCAGAGAGAAGAUUCUUUGGAUUCCCUAAGGAUCCUGUGAGGUCAAAACAGUGGGAUGCUGCCUGCAAUAAAGAUCUGCUCAGCAAAUUUGCAGAUGAAUUAUACAGAAAAGGAAAAGUGUGUUCUAUACACUUCACUGAAAGUGACUUCCGUACAACCUACAUUCCUGUGCUGUACCAAAGAGGUUGAAUCCAGAGAGAAUGCUUCUCACACCUAGGGCAAACAGAUGAUGAAAGUCAAAAGACCGUGGACGUAGUACAUACUGAAACAAUGUCACUGACUCAAAUAGCAAAAACAGAUGAGACUCAAGAACUGCCAUAUGUAAAUGAGGACCAAGAGAAAGAAGCAAUUAAAACGCCAG
Molecule: long non-coding RNA, 423 nt
Organism: Stegodyphus dumicola
Lineage: Eukaryota; Metazoa; Arthropoda; Arachnida; Araneae; Eresidae
Source: RefSeq, a predicted model, not a curated record